Molecule: transfer RNA, 76 nt
Filed under: Clostridia bacterium
Lineage: Bacteria; Bacillati; Bacillota; Clostridia
Also listed under: 2 other names
Description: tRNA-Thr
Rfam family: tRNA
About the family: Transfer RNA (tRNA) molecules are approximately 80 nucleotides in length. Their secondary structure includes four short double-helical elements and three loops (D, anti-codon, and T loops).
Source: RNAcentral
GCCGAUGUAGCUCAAUUGGUAGAGCAGCUGACUUGUAAUCAGCAGGUUGCGGGUUCGAGUCCCAUCAUCGGCUCCA